UGAACGUGAGCCCAUUGCCGCACUUCUUUACCCAUAAGUGAGUGCCUUGGUCAAAGGCAAUGCUGUGUGAAAUACUAUGACAGUGGAUAAGGCAUUCUGUGAGUCCAUGGAUGGUAGUCUUGGCAGAAGAAUUGUGUGCAGGAUAGGCAAACACAUAUCCAGAUUUUUACAAAACUGAAAGAUUUACCAGUAUACUAAGAUUGUUAUAAAUGGAUGAAGAUUCAUAAAUAUAAAACAACAUUACCACUCUCUGGUUUGCAAGGUAUUUACAAAGACAUUUGGAGAGAUAUUAUCAACAUUUUAUAGAAAAGGACCCUCAUCCUGACUAUGCUAUGUGAGUACAUAAAAAAAUUGAAUCCAGACAUU
Molecule: long non-coding RNA, 366 nt
Organism: Homo sapiens (human)
Lineage: Eukaryota; Metazoa; Chordata; Mammalia; Primates; Hominidae
Exons: 3
Source: RefSeq, a predicted model, not a curated record